GUUCUUGUAGCUCAGUGGUAGAGCAUUUGACUGCAGAUCAAGAGGUCCCCAAUUCAAAUCCAGGUGCC
RNAcentral lists this transfer RNA (68 nucleotides) under Danio rerio (zebrafish). It matches the Rfam family "tRNA". Rfam says of the family: Transfer RNA (tRNA) molecules are approximately 80 nucleotides in length. The record is from Rfam by way of RNAcentral. Lineage: Eukaryota; Metazoa; Chordata; Actinopteri; Cypriniformes; Danionidae.